CGCAUCCUUCGGGGUGAGUGGCAGACGGGUGAGUAACGCGUGGGAACGUGCCCUUCAGUUCGGAAUAACCCAGGGAAACUUGGGCUAAUACCGGAUACGUGCGAGAGCAGAAAGAUUUAUCGCUGAAGGAUCGGCCCGCGUCUGAUUAGCUUGUUGGUGGGGUAAUGGCCCACCAAGGCGACGAUCAGUAGCUGGUCUGAGAGGAUGAUCAGCCACAUUGGGACUGAGACACGGCCCAAACUCCUACGGGAGGCAGCAGUGGGGAAUAUUGGACAAUGGGCGCAAGCCUGAUCCAGCCAUGCCGCGUGAGUGAUGAAGGCCUUAGGGUUGUAAAGCUCUUUCAGCGGGGACGAUAAUGACGGUACCCGCAGAAGAAGCCCCGGCUAACUUCGUGCCAGCAGCCGCGGUAAUACGAAGGGGGCUAGCGUUGUUCGGAAUCACUGGGCGUAAAGGGCGCGUAGGCGGCUUUGUAAGUCGGGGGUGAAAGCCUGUGGCUCAACCACAGAAUUGCCUUCGAUACUGCAUGGCUUGAGACCGGAAGAGGUUAGUGGAACUGCGAGUGUAGAGGUGAAAUUCGUAGAUAUUCGCAAGAACACCAGUGGCGAAGGCGGCUGACUGGUCCGGUUCUGACGCUGAGGCGCGAAAGCGUGGGGAGCAAACAGGAUUAGAUACCCUGGUAGUCCACGCCGUAAACGAUGAAUGCCAGCCGUUGGCGAGCUUGCUCGUCAGUGGCGCAGCUAACGCUUUAAGCAUUCCGCCUGGGGAGUAC
Molecule: ribosomal RNA, 769 nt
Filed under: Microvirga sp.
Lineage: Bacteria; Pseudomonadati; Pseudomonadota; Alphaproteobacteria; Hyphomicrobiales; Methylobacteriaceae
Description: bacterial SSU rRNA
Rfam family: Bacterial small subunit ribosomal RNA
Source: RNAcentral